RNAcentral lists this ribosomal RNA (359 nucleotides) under uncultured bacterium. RNAcentral's name for it is "partial 16S ribosomal RNA". It matches the Rfam family "Bacterial small subunit ribosomal RNA", at positions 338 to 695 of the family's 1533-position model. The record is from RNAcentral.
CCUACGGGUGGCAGCAGUGAGGAAUAUUGGUCAAUGGGCGCGAGCCUGAACCAGCCAAGUCGCGUGAGGGAAGACGGUCCUAUGGAUUGUAAACCUCUUUUGUCGGGGAGCAAAAGACGCCACGCGUGGCGUUCCGAGAGUACCCGAAGAAAAAGCAUCGGACAACUCCGUUCCAUCAGCCGCGGGAAUACGGAGGAUGCGAGCGUUAUCCGGAUUUAUUGUGUUUAAAGGGUGCCCAGGGGGAAGGUCAAGUCAGGGGUAAAAUGGAGAGGCUCAACCUCUUCGAGACGUUGAAACUGGUUUUGUUGAGUGAGCGAGGAGUAUGAGGAAUGCGUGGGGUAGCGGUGAAAUGGAUAGAU